GACGAACGCUGGCGGCGUGCCUAAUACAUGCAAGUCGAACGCACGAAGUUGAAGAGCUUGCUCUUUAACCAAGUGAGUGGCGGACGGGUGAGUAACACGUGGGUAACCUGCCCAUUAGAGGGGGAUAACAUUCGGAAACGGAUGCUAAUACCGCAUAGUUUCAGGAAUCGCAUGAUUCUUGAAGGAAAGGUGGCUUCGGCUACCACUAAUGGAUGGACCCGCGGCGUAUUAGCUAGUUGGUGAGGUAAUGGCUCACCAAGGCAAUGAUACGUAGCCGACCUGAGAGGGUGAUCGGCCACACUGGGACUGAGACACGGCCCAGACUCCUACGGGAGGCAGCAGUAGGGAAUCUUCCGCAAUGGACGAAAGUCUGACGGAGCAACGCCGCGUGAGUGAAGAAGGUUUUCGGAUCGUAAAACUCUGUUGUUAAAGAAGAACAAGGAUGAGAGUAACUGCUCAUCCCCUGACGGUAUUUAACCAGAAAGCCACGGCUAACUACGUGCCAGCAGCCGCGGUAAUACGUAGGUGGCAAGCGUUGUCCGGAUUUAUUGGGCGUAAAGCGAGCGCAGGCGGUUCUUUAAGUCUGAUGUGAAAGCCCCCGGCUCAACCGGGGAGGGUCAUUGGAAACUGGAGAACUUGAGUGCAGAAGAGGAGAGUGGAAUUCCACGUGUAGCGGUGAAAUGCGUAGAUAUGUGGUGGAACACCAGUGGCGAAGGCGACUCUCUGGUCUGUAACUGACGCUGAGGCUCGAAAGCGUGGGGAGCAAACAGG
RNAcentral lists this ribosomal RNA (771 nucleotides) under uncultured Vagococcus sp. Its description in RNAcentral is "bacterial SSU rRNA". It matches the Rfam family "Bacterial small subunit ribosomal RNA", at positions 28 to 776 of the family's 1533-position model. Lineage: Bacteria; Bacillati; Bacillota; Bacilli; Lactobacillales; Enterococcaceae. The record is from RNAcentral.